This 70-nucleotide transfer RNA is filed under the name Loxodonta africana (African savanna elephant). It matches the Rfam family "tRNA". From Rfam's summary of the family: Transfer RNA (tRNA) molecules are approximately 80 nucleotides in length. The record is from Rfam by way of RNAcentral. Lineage: Eukaryota; Metazoa; Chordata; Mammalia; Proboscidea; Elephantidae.
GGGUUGUACAAAUAGUUAGCACACUUGGCUGCUAACCAAAAGGUUGAUGGUUCAAGUCCACCCAGAUCCA